Molecule: long non-coding RNA, 2596 nt
Filed under: Canis lupus familiaris (dog)
Lineage: Eukaryota; Metazoa; Chordata; Mammalia; Carnivora; Canidae
Description: lncRNA (ENSCAFG00845022473.1)
Source: RNAcentral
GGGGGCACAAGCAGAGGGAGGAUCAGAGGGCAGAGGGACAAGCAGACUUGUCACUGAGCGGGGAGCCUAAUGCGGGGCCCAAUCUUAGGGCCCCUGAGAUCAUGACCUAAACUGAAGUCAGGCACUUAACCGAAUGAACCACCCAGGCUCCCCUGUGACUCUGUUUUUAAAUGUGGAAGAUGCUGCCAAUGCUGAGAUUAAUUUUUAAUAUGUAGAAGUUUGGGGAGGGAUAUUUUCAACAGCCAAAGUACAAGAUGAUGCUUCAGACUUGGUAGGUACCAAAAACAUCUGUUGAGUUGAUUAUAAACUAGUGUAAAAGGCUUAAAGGCAGAAUGCCCAAAGAUGCUUGCAAAAGUACGAGACCAGGAGCAGUAAACUCACAGGCUCCGUCACUCCACCUACGUGACAAUGCCUGGCCUUUAUUUACACAAAUGUUUAAAUUUUUGGUUGGUUAUGCAAACAAGUAGCAUUAAGUUGUUCAGGUAUUUGUCAUGGUUUCCCUAGAAAUCAAAAGAAUCAUAACAACCCAGGUUUCUCACAAUUGGGGGGGGAUGGAUAACCUUUUACAAAAUAAAAUCCUCCAAUCUACCCCAACACCAUAUGAAAUACAUAUGGGCCUGAUGAAGAAAAAAUGGGGAUCCCUGGGUGGCGCAGCAGUUUGGCGCCUCCCUUUGGCCCAGGGUGUGAUCCUGGAGACCCGGGAUGGAAUCCCACGUCGGGCUCCCGGUGCAUGGAGCCUGCUUCUCCCUCUGCCUAUGUCUCUGCCUCUCUCUCUCUCUCUCUCUCUCUCUCUCUCUCUCUCUCUCUCUCUCUCCCUGUGACUAUCAUAAAUAAAUUUUAAAAAUUUAAAAAAAGGAAAAAGAAAAAAUGGAGCAUGAAGCCCUUUGUGUGGAUCCUGCCCGGCUCCCUCUUCAUACCAGUACCCCUUCCUCCAUGUCAGCUGGACUAUGUCGAGUGACAGGGAGUUGAGCAGAGCAUCUCACAAGAUAUAAUCUUACUUUAAUCUCAAUUUCUGAUGCUAAAACAAUGUCUCACUACUAAACAAAAGUCUGCUUCCCUGGAAGGUCUACUCAGUGGCCCAAACACCCUUCUACAAGCUUCAUCUAUUUUAUGAGGGCUCCCAUCCUGCUCUAGGGCAACAUCUUCACUGCUUCCACUACUGCUCACUAGUCAUGAGCUCCGUUCCUUUUAUCAUCCUGCUCCCCUUCCACCAGGCAUUCUCUUGAAGCUUUAAGAAUAUGCCCUUGACCCAGGGGACAGGUGCCAAUUGCUCAGUGUCUGUGGAAAUUAUUUCUCAGGCCUUCUAACAUCACAUGCACUUGCUACUUGUCUACUACUAACCCUGAUAGUACCUUUCAAUGUUUGCAUCUCAGCAGCAUGAGGAGGUGCUCUUGGAAACUCAGCUCUUGAUUCCUUGCUCCUCUUCUGAACCUGAAGUUAUCUUCUCCCCUCCACACUGUGUUCUCCUCAGAUUCUCCUCAGACAAAUUCACGGCAGACGUCUUGUGCCUGUGACCUGCUCCAGCAGACAGUGAUGCCGGGGCUGACACAGCCACUCUUCCCAGCUCAGCCCAAAGGCCUGUCAAGGACUGUGUCCGCUCUCAUCUGUUUCUCUCCUGAGGUGGAAUGCAACUUCAGAUGUGCUUUGAUCAGCUCAGAGAUCAGGGGGCCUGUUCUUCAAUACAGUUAUUCUUUUCAGGCAGAUGUGGGUUUUUCAGCAGCUUUCCUUCUCUGUUGGUUCAUCUCAAGCUCAAAGGUGAUGGUCAGUCUCCACUAGGUACAGCCCCACUCAGCUGUCUCUGGGGAGCUGGGCCCGGCAGAUUUCAUGAGGGCCCUGAGCCAGUGACAACCAAGAUUGAUAACACAGUAAGACAAAGGCUCUCAAUGACGGCUGCACAUUAGGUUCAUCUGGAGGCCUUUAAGAACUCUCAAUGCCUUGUUCCAACACCCAAGAUUGAUUCAGCUGAUCAGGAUAUCCUUUUAAAAAAAAUCACUUUUUAAUUUUUAAAAAAAAUCACUGGAAGUGGGGCCCCUGGGUCUGUCUGUCUGCCUUUGGCUUAGGUCAUGAUCUCAGGGUCCUGGGAUCAAGCCCCAUUAGACUUCCUGCUGAGUGGGGAGCCUGCUUCUCCUUCUCCCUCUGCCCCUUCUCCCCACUGCCCAUCCCAGCUCGUGCUCUGUCUCUCUCUCUAAAAAAAAAAAAAAAAAAAAAAAAAAAAAAAAAAAAAAAUUAAAAAAGUGAUAGAUCAUCAUAGGAUGAUCAGAUUCACUGAUCUGCAGGAUUCAGAGUCACUGCAGGACAUCUCUAACAGCUUCUCACCUGGAAACAGAGUCUAAGGUGCCCGUCAGAAACUCCACCAUUCAAUUCAGGAACUGUACUAAGAUUUCACAAACCACAUGUAAUUCUCCCAGCAAUUGUGGGAAACAUUAUUACUAUCCCCACUGAAAAGAUGCCAAAAGACAAGUCUCAGAAAUGUCAAGUAAUCUGCCCCAGACACACAGAGGAAGAAAGAGGUGGACAGAGAGUAUUUUGGCAGAGUCCAAAGACAGCAUUGCUAAUCCCAGUAUACCUCCAGUGUAGCCCUGUUCCUUUGCCCUCC